Neomonachus schauinslandi (Hawaiian monk seal) is the source of this 145-nucleotide long non-coding RNA. RefSeq lists it as uncharacterized. The transcript is spliced from 3 exons. The record is from RefSeq and is a predicted model, not a curated record. Lineage: Eukaryota; Metazoa; Chordata; Mammalia; Carnivora; Phocidae.
UCCCAUACCUCAGCUCAAGCUUUCUAUCUCCUCAGAAGAUGAAGAAACGAAGACAGAGAUUGAGACUUGUCUAGAGUAACACAAACCAAUGACAAAACAGGUUCAGAGAAGUUGAAGCUUGUCCAGUGUCACAGAGCAGAGCUGG